This 3032-nucleotide long non-coding RNA is filed under the name Nicotiana tabacum (common tobacco). RNAcentral's name for it is "long non-coding RNA (NTAB_LNC002674)". The record is from RNAcentral. Lineage: Eukaryota; Viridiplantae; Streptophyta; Magnoliopsida; Solanales; Solanaceae.
GAGGGUAAUCAAUUCUCUCAUACCUCAAUUUUAUUUUCCCAAUUCCUUCCCUAUUCUAGCAACCGGUCAACAUGCAAACCGAAGCAAAUAACUGCACAAGUAGCAAGUGGAAUAUGCAUCAGGAUGGUCUUUGAUUCUGGGGUCCACCUGUCCUAGACGGACCCAACUCCUAUGUUGAGUCCCCAAAGUCAAAUGCACAUGAUGCAGACAAAUGUUCCUACUAGGGAUCCGGCAUGAGUCAGAGUUAUUCUAAGUUUAAAACCUGGGUAUAUUGUUCUAUACUUGUGUACCCGAGCGGACAACUCGAGCCGCGGGGGGNNNNNNNNNNNNNNNNNNNNNNNNNGGCCAUCCGGCUUUGUAACUUGUCCGAGCCUCUUUCUUAUUUCAAGGUAUGACACUAAUAGAAAGAGGAGUCACGCAAGCGUGCACAUCCCCGAAGAUAAGAAGAGAAGGGUUUCGUAACAUUUUAUAUACCAUUCAAAUAAAAUCAAAGCGGUAAAAAGAGACAUUUAGCACAUUAGGCCCAAACAUGCAAUAAACAAUCAGAUAACAAAUAAAAGCCAAUUAUAAAAGUUAUUCUAAGCUCGAAUUCUUAAUCCCUGAACAAAAGUUCUGGGUUAUGUUCCCCAGCAGAGUCGCCAGAGCUGUCACACCUCCUUUUUACACACCCGAUGGUAUAGAUAGGGUGUUUUUCCAAUUUAAGUGACAUUAUUCGAAAUGAGACUAUUUAAUUUAUUUCAGAGUCGCCACUUGGGAUAUUAUUAUGUUGUCACAAGUCACCGAUUUAUUUUAAGUCCCAAAUCGAGGAAAUUCGACUUUCUUUUUGAAGUCUGCGAACCAGAAAUUCUAAGUAAGGAAUUCUGUUAACCCGGGAGAAGGUAUUAGGCAUUCUCGGGUUCCGUGGUUCUAGCACGGUCGCUUAAACUAUUGUUAUUGGCCUAUUAUCUGAAUUUAAUACACGUUUUAGCCUAUGGUUCAAUUUGCUUAUUAACCGCUUUUAAUAAUUAUUGUUACAUAUUGCAAAUCAUGUCACGGGAACCGUACCCACGAUUUACAACAUGUUUAAUUUUUAAAGACUAAAUUGUAGACGGGUCACAUAAAUGCACCCGCGGGUUUUAGUAACUAGGUGUCACAUCUACGUCACGGGAACCGCAGCCAUAGCUAUGACAAUUAAUUAAUUAACGUGCCUAAAGCAACUACGAAAUUUCAUGGCAAUUUCUAUACUAAUUUUUAUUUAUAUAAGAUCCAUAAAUUGUAGGAUUUUAUUUGUAUAUGGCACACCCCAAUUUAUUUGAUCUAAAUUUGUGAGGGCCAAGUGUUAUGGAUUUAAAGCAUGGCACACCUCAACUUAUUCUUAAAAAAAAGUUUUAUAUUUUAAAGGCAAACUAAAGGUGCUCUCAUUUUUUUACUAAUUUAAAAACUAGCUAUCACAAUCACAUCACGGGAACAGUACCCGUAGUCUUAAUAAUUUUAAAAUCGGACCUAAAACAAGACACGAGUAUAAUGAUGUAAACAACAAAGGUAAUGAACUAACAAUAUUGUUGCGAGACAGUUUGUUAGCCUUUUCAUAGCAGAAACUCAAACUCCUACAAUAAGCAUGUUAUUAGAUGCCUAUUUGAAGUGAAACAACGUUCUUUCAUAGAGAAAGUUAACAAUUAAUUGUAGUGGAAUUUAUCACUCACGUAUGCUAAUUUUACCUAAGAGCCGCAGUUCUCUUAAUUUGAGUUUACCAACAAAGAACAACUCUUGACCCAACAACACCAAAGUUUAUACAAACACACACAUGCCAUUCAAUGAACUAAGUGACUAAAUAAUUAGAAAAGUCACAUAAUACUAAGCUAAAUGAAAACAAGGAAAAUGAAUUUUUUAUCACUUCAAUUCAAUACAUGUCAAAUGAUGCGUUUAAAACAGUAAGCACCUAAAGUUAAUUUAAAAUAAAACUUUGAUUCAUGAGCUUCAAUUAAGUGACAACAAACUUAACGCCUCAAUCAUACUUCACUUUUGAUAAACGAGAAGGAACCAGUAAUUGAAAAUUGUAAAUGAGGCUAUUAAGUAAGAACACCAAGGUUUGUAUUUCAGUUACCCAUUUUCACAAUCAAAUUCACAAAACUUAACUUAUAGGCGAUCAAAGUCAGAGUUGAUUUGAAGAGCUCCAAACACAUUUUAAGACACACAGUUAAAUUAUGGACACUAACAGAUCUUUUCCGAUAACAAAUUAGGACAGCUUCAACCAAUAAAUCAGUCGUAAUUAAAGCAAGAAAAUUAAUCAAAUAAGUUAUAUAGUCAUGUGUAAAACUCAAAUCAAUCAAAUACCAACUCAGUGAUCCCAAAAUCAAAUUAGAUUUGCAACCCAAUGUGUCUGAACCAAACAAAUCAAGAAUCGUAAAUGUUCAAUCUUAGAAGUAAAACCAACACACUUAGCGGGAAGAGAUGCAAACUGAAUAAACUUAAACGGAUAAGAGGAAAUCAAGAACGAACCUGUUAAGUAAUCUUUCUUUAUAGCAAUUAUAGAAUCGACAAAUACACUGUUUUCUUGACUCCAAAAUUCCAGCGAGAUUCAGCAACAAUAUCGAGCAAAAUUUGCAAGCCAAAUCGAAAUUUCGAAAGACCACUUCGGACAGAAUCGACAAAGUGCAGAAAAUGCAAAACUCCAGCCCCAAUCUUCAACUUGAGGAUUUAAACCAAACUUCCUUUCUAAAAAAAAGAACAGAAAUCAAGAGAAAAAGAAAACAAGGUUAGAAGAAAUCUAUUUCAACAAUCUUUUUUUUAUUUUUUCUCUUAAAAAACAAAACAAAGCUCGAAUGAAAACUAAAUUCAAGCCAUAUUUUUUGUGUAUCUUUUCUGAAAAAAAUGACAAAGAAGACUGAAAAAGAAAAAGGAAAAGAAAACUUGAAGGAAAGUGACGACUAAAAAUCUAGAAAUUGACUAAGAUUUCUGAAAAGUUUCUCCGAUUUUUCCUCUAACCUAGCAUAUAAGACUUACCUCAUAUAUAUAGCCUUCAAAAACUUCAAACAAUCUGCCCAAAAUCCAAA